GACCUGCGGAGGGAUCAUUACACAAAUAUGAAGGCGGGCUGGAACCUCUCGGGGUUACAGCCUUGCUGAAUUAUUCACCCUUGUCUUUUGCGUACUUCUUGUUUCCUUGGUGGGUUCGCCCACCACUAGGACAAACAUAAACCUUUUGUAAUUGCAAUCAGCGUCAGUAACAAAUUAAUAAUUACAACUUUCAACAACGGAUCUCUUGGUUCUGGCAUCGAUGAAGAACGCAGCGAAAUGCGAUAAGUAGUGUGAAUUGCAGAAUUCAGUGAAUCAUCGAAUCUUUGAACGCACAUUGCGCCCUUUGGUAUUCCAAAGGGCAUGCCUGUUCGAGCGUCAUUUGUACCCUCAAGCUUUGCUUGGUGUUGGGCGUCUUGUCUCUAGCUUUGCUGGAGACUCGCCUUAAAGUAAUUGGCAGCCGGCCUACUGGUUUCGGAGCGCAGCACAAGUCGCACUCUCUAUCAGCAAAGGUCUAGCAUCCAUUAAGCCUUUUUUCAACUUUUGACCUCGGAUCAGGUAGGGAUACCCGCUGAACUUAAGCAUAU
Molecule: ribosomal RNA, 545 nt
Filed under: fungal sp.
Lineage: Eukaryota; Fungi
Description: eukaryotic LSU rRNA
Rfam family: 5.8S ribosomal RNA (bases 186-339)
Source: RNAcentral